This 468-nucleotide ribosomal RNA is filed under the name uncultured bacterium. RNAcentral's name for it is "partial 16S ribosomal RNA". It matches the Rfam family "Bacterial small subunit ribosomal RNA", at positions 28 to 507 of the family's 1533-position model. The record is from RNAcentral.
GACGAACGCUGGCGGCGUGCUUAACACAUGCAAGUCGAACGGAAAGGCCCUGCUUUCGUGGGGUGCCCGAGUGGCGAACGGGUGAGUAACACGUGAGUAACCUGCCCUUGACUUUGGGACAACUUCAGGAAACUGGGGCUAACACCGGAUAGGAGCUCCUGCUGCAUGGUGGGGGUUGGAAAGUUUCGGCGGUUGGGGAUGGACUCGCGGGUUAUCAGCUUGUUGGUGGGGUAGUGGCUUACCAAGGGUUUGACGGGUAGCCGGCCUGGGAGGGUGGCCGGCGACCUUGGGACUGAGAUACGGCCCAGACUCGUACGGGAGGCAGAGGUGGGGAAUAUUACACAAUGGGCGGAGGCCUGAUGCAGCAACGCCGCGUGCGGGAUGACGGCCUUCGGGUUGUAAAGCGCUUUCGCCUGUGACGAAGCGUGAGUGACGGUAAUGGGUAAAGAAGCACCGGCUAACUACGUG